RNAcentral lists this ribosomal RNA (511 nucleotides) under Enterobacter sp. RNAcentral's name for it is "bacterial SSU rRNA". It matches the Rfam family "Bacterial small subunit ribosomal RNA", at positions 77 to 582 of the family's 1533-position model. The record is from RNAcentral. Lineage: Bacteria; Pseudomonadati; Pseudomonadota; Gammaproteobacteria; Enterobacterales; Enterobacteriaceae.
AGCUUGCUCUCGGGUGACGAGUGGCGGACGGGUGAGUAAUGUCUGGGAAACUGCCUGAUGGAGGGGGAUAACUACUGGAAACGGUAGCUAAUACCGCAUAACGUCGCAAGACCAAAGAGGGGGACCUUCGGGCCUCUUGCCAUCAGAUGUGCCCAGAUGGGAUUAGCUAGUAGGUGGGGUAACGGCUCACCUAGGCGACGAUCCCUAGCUGGUCUGAGAGGAUGACCAGCCACACUGGAACUGAGACACGGUCCAGACUCCUACGGGAGGCAGCAGUGGGGAAUAUUGCACAAUGGGCGCAAGCCUGAUGCAGCCAUGCCGCGUGUAUGAAGAAGGCCUUCGGGUUGUAAAGUACUUUCAGCGGGGAGGAAGGCGAUACGGUUAAUAACCGUGUUGAUUGACGUUACCCGCAGAAGAAGCACCGGCUAACUCCGUGCCAGCAGCCGCGGUAAUACGGAGGGUGCAAGCGUUAAUCGGAAUUACUGGGCGUAAAGCGCACGCAGGCGGUCUG